CCUGACGCAGCGACGCCGCGUGGGGGAUGAAGGCUUUCGGGUUGUAAACCUCUUUUAUUCCUGAACAAGGCUUGGAUUGUUGUCUGGGUUGAGGGUAGGGGGUGAAUAAGCGCCGGCUAACUACGUGCCAGCAGCCGCGGUAAUACGUAGGGCGCGAGCGUUGUCCGGAUUUAUUGGGCGUAAAGAGCUCGUAGGCGGUUUGUUGCGUCUGCUGUGAAAACGCGGGGCUUAACUUCGCGCGUGCAGUGGGUACGGGCAGGCUAGAGUGCGGUAGGGGAGAUUGGAAUUCCUGGUGUAGCGGUGGAAUGCGCAGAUAUCAGGAGGAACACCGAUGGCGAAGGCAGGUCUCUGGGCCGUUACUGACGCUGAGGAGCGAAAGCGUGGGGAGCGAACAGGAUUAGAUACCCUGGUAGUCCAUGCUGUAAACGUUGGGCACUAGGUGUGGGGGCCUUUCCGGGUUUCUGCGUCGUAGCUAACGCUUUAAGUGCCCCGCCUGGGGAGUACGGCCGCAAGGUUAAAACUCAAAGGAAUUGACGG
Molecule: ribosomal RNA, 537 nt
Filed under: uncultured bacterium
Lineage: Bacteria
Description: bacterial SSU rRNA
Rfam family: Bacterial small subunit ribosomal RNA
Source: RNAcentral